GAUGAACGCUGGCGGCGUGCCUAAUACAUGCAAGUCGAGCGAACGGACGAGAAGCUUGCUUCUCUGACGUUAGCGGCGGACGGGUGAGUAACACGUGGAUAACCUACCUAUAAGACUGGGAUAACUUCGGGAAACCGGAGCUAAUACCGGAUAAUAUAUUGAACCGCAUGGUUCAAAAGUGAAAGACGGUCUUGCUGUCACUUAUAGAUGGAUCCGCGCUGCAUUAGCUAGUUGGUAAGGUAACGGCUUACCAAGGCAACGAUGCAUAGCCGACCUGAGAGGGUGAUCGGCCACACUGGAACUGAGACACGGUCCAGACUCCUACGGGAGGCAGCAGUAGGGAAUCUUCCGCAAUGGGCGAAAGCCUGACGGAGCAACGCCGCGUGAGUGAUGAAGGUCUUCGGAUCGUAAAACUCUGUUAUUAGGGAAGAACAUAUGUGUAAGUAACUGUGCACAUCUUGACGGUACCUAAUCAGAAAGCCACGGCUAACUACGUG
Molecule: ribosomal RNA, 497 nt
Filed under: uncultured bacterium
Lineage: Bacteria
Description: partial 16S ribosomal RNA
Rfam family: Bacterial small subunit ribosomal RNA
Source: RNAcentral